Long non-coding RNA from Planococcus citri (citrus mealybug), 963 nucleotides. RefSeq lists it as uncharacterized. The record is from RefSeq and is a predicted model, not a curated record. The transcript has 2 exons. Lineage: Eukaryota; Metazoa; Arthropoda; Insecta; Hemiptera; Pseudococcidae.
AGAGAGGUUUUGGGGUUCAAUUCAAAUUCUUUAUAGAACUGUCCCUUCUCCCUCCACAAAAGAAAAUACCUAAAUAUCCGUUAAGUACACAUAUCAACAUUCUUCCGCUCAUAAAAGUCGUAAUUUUCGGUCGAUUUGAAGUGAACAUCGAUUAAAGUUAAUUCCUCUUUCCACACAGUAGAAUUCUUUUCCAUAAUGACUCCCCCCUCCUCCGUUUCGAACAAAAUUUUUUUUCAAUGAGUACAACUCGAGUUUAUCAAACGUGAUGUUUUUAAUUUUACUCCAUUCAUGUUUUUAAUGCUUUAAUAUAAUCAUUGUUCAAGCCAGGACAUAAGAUUUUGAAAAAUAUUUUUUUAAUAUAAUUUCAGCAAAAUGAAGACAUUGAAGAACACCUGAAAAAAAAUGGAAAGUGAAAAACUAACCUUUGGGACGUAAAGUGACCAUCAGGGUACUAUUAAUUUUUGGAUCUUCUUCAAACAACAAUCAUAACAAUUGAAAAAAAAAACAGAUCGAUGGACGUUUAGCAUUUGACAUAAGAAACCUAUUUACGAAGGAAUCGGAAGACAUUCGAUACAGACAUUUCACUGGAUUAUUAUUUCAAUAUCAUUAAUUUCACUCGCCAACGAUAUUAAUAGUAUUCGAAUGUUAUUGUGAAGCCAAAGAGAAAUACUUGUUAAUAGCCUUAUUUAUAACUAUAGGCAAUUAAAACCAUGCGAGGUGGUUACAGAUGAUAAAUUUUAGCGAAAUAUGUUGAAUAUUCAGAGAAGUGGACCGUAAAUUUUUCAUUUCGUUUCACUAUGGAAAUAUGGCAAAUAAAAAUUCAAAUGGCUUAACAUCAAGUAGAUCUAGAAAAAAUGAAAUGAACAAAAUGAUAAUAUUGAAUGAAAUUUCUCAAAUUAUUACAGAUACAACUAAUAGAUAGCCCAAAAGCCAUUUUGAAACUUUUGGCGGAUUUUUGGGCUA